GUAACUUCCUGUUCCAGGAGUCUGGUGCUGGGCAGCAGUUUUGGGGCCUCUGCACCUCCUGUGCUCAGUCACUGGCUGGUGCUGACCAGGAGGGAUCGGCCUCGGCUCCAGUGUGGAGGGACACCCAGAAGAUGCUGCUGUCCUCCCGUCUGCUGAUGCCUCCAGUGCCAUCUCGCAGCAGGCUGAUGACCAGGGUCCCAUUUCCAGCAGGCUGGGGCUGGAAGGUGGGCACAGACUCCAGGACUUGGUUAUUAAAUCAGCAAAACCCAAAUGCUCCCAAGAUGAACUCUUGAUGGUGCAAUAGCGGCAAAUUACCUUGCAGACUUCCAGUCAGUGCAAAUCACAGCGAGGGACAUCCUCAGGAGAAAGCACCC
Molecule: long non-coding RNA, 374 nt
Filed under: Fukomys damarensis (Damara mole-rat)
Lineage: Eukaryota; Metazoa; Chordata; Mammalia; Rodentia; Bathyergidae
Description: lncRNA (ENSFDAG00000024211.1)
Source: RNAcentral